Molecule: ribosomal RNA, 525 nt
Filed under: Acinetobacter sp. FW12
Lineage: Bacteria; Pseudomonadati; Pseudomonadota; Gammaproteobacteria; Moraxellales; Moraxellaceae
Description: bacterial SSU rRNA
Rfam family: Bacterial small subunit ribosomal RNA
Source: RNAcentral
UGGAGAGUUUGAUCCUGGCUCAGAUUGAACGCUGGCGGCAGGCUUAACACAUGCAAGUCGAGCGGAUGAAGGGAGCUUGCUCCUGGAUUCAGCGGCGGACGGGUGAGUAAUGCUUAGGAAUCUGCCUAUUAGUAGGGGGACAACAGUUGGAAACGACUGCUAAUACCGCAUACGCCCUACGGGGGAAAGGAGGGGAUCUUCGGACCUUUCGCUAAUAGAUGAGCCUAAGUCAGAUUAGCUAGUUGGUGGGGUAAAGGCCUACCAAGGCGACGAUCUGUAGCGGGUCUGAGAGGAUGAUCCGCCACACUGGGACUGAGACACGGCCCAGACUCCUACGGGAGGCAGCAGUGGGGAAUAUUGGACAAUGGGGGCAACCCUGAUCCAGCCUAUGCCGCGUGUGUGAAGAAGGCCUUUUGGUUGUAAAGCACUUUAAGCGAGGAGGAGGAGCUCUAGAUUAAUACUCUAGAUGCUUGGACGUUACUCGCAGAAUAAGCACCGGCUAACUCUGUGCCAGCAGCCGCGGUA